RNAcentral lists this ribosomal RNA (505 nucleotides) under uncultured bacterium. RNAcentral's name for it is "partial 16S ribosomal RNA". It matches the Rfam family "Bacterial small subunit ribosomal RNA", at positions 899 to 1397 of the family's 1533-position model. The record is from RNAcentral.
ACUCAAAUGAAUAGACGGGGGCUCACACAAGCGGUGGAGCAUGUUGCUUAAUUCGAGGCAACGCGAAGAACCUUACCUGGGUUUGACAUGGCUGGAUUAACUCCUGGAAACAGGAGCCACGCCCGCAAGGGUGGAACAGUCACAGGUGCUGCAUGGCUGUCGUCAGCUCGUGCUGUGAAGUGUCGGGUUAAGUCCUCUAACGAGCGCAACCCCUAUCGUUAGUUGCUCACGGGUAAUGCCGAGUACUCUAGCGAGACUGCCGUUGUAAGACGGAGGAAGGCGGGGAUGACGUCAAGUCCUCAUGGCCCUUACAUCCAGGGAUGCAAACGUGCUACAAUGGUGCGCACAAAGCGACGCGAGGCCGCGAGGCGGAGCAAAUCGCAAAAAACGCACCCCAGUUCGGAUUGCAGGCUGCAAUUCGCCUGCAUGAAGUCGGAAUCGCUAGUAAUCGGAGAUCAGCUACGCUCCGGUGAAUAAGUUCCUGAGCCUUGUACACACCGCCCGU